AGUAGAGAAUUAAGGUGCAGUCUCAGGGAAAUGACAGAGAAAUUCCUCUCCUACAUAUGAGAAGGUGUGGAACACCAGUGAGGAUGUGGGUUAAUUCUGGCCAUGUUGUCUAAGGAGUGUUCCCACAUUCAAAAACAAUCAGAUGUCUGUCGUGAAGACAACAACCUGAUCAAAUCAUCUACAGAAAUGUGUGAAGCUGAAGUACAUCAGGACACUAAUUGCUUUUUUGAUGGAAGAAAAAAUGUACUCGACUACAAAAAAGAUGGGCAUCAUGAUCUACACUUUUGCAAUAGUGAAAAAUGAGGACGAAAUUGAUUAGAAUUGGGAAUUGGAGACAAAAAUGCACUUGGCUUGGUAUACGCAACGGACUUUCUAAAGCUUUAUGCUAAUCAGAAUUUUUACAUGGAACUGGCUUUCUGAAGAAAAUCAAAA
This 432-nucleotide long non-coding RNA is filed under the name Homo sapiens (human). Its description in RNAcentral is "HSALNT0052038". Lineage: Eukaryota; Metazoa; Chordata; Mammalia; Primates; Hominidae. The record is from RNAcentral.